Molecule: long non-coding RNA, 437 nt
Organism: Stylophora pistillata
Lineage: Eukaryota; Metazoa; Cnidaria; Anthozoa; Scleractinia; Pocilloporidae
Source: RefSeq, a predicted model, not a curated record
UGUUAACGGCGCUACCACCCUCUUCAUCAUUUCAAAGGUAACAUUUGCUGGUUGUCUUUACAGAAAGAAACUCGUGAAGCGUGUCAUUUUCUUUGUUGCUGUUUUGACAACUAAGAGAAGGUUAAAGCCGAAACUCCUUCAAAAACACUAUGUCUGAACAAUAUGCAGUUCCGCUCUGUCUCCCAAACAACUGCAAAUGGGACGAGCAGACCACGGAGUACAGCAAAAGCGAUGACGCUAGGGAAAGCCUCGUCGUUGUUGACGCAGCUCUUGAGCAGCUCAGAAUAAUCAAAGUCCUUGAUCCAGUCCGUGUUCCGAUCCGGUCCGAUCCAGAUUUUGUCGACGCCGAUCAUUGCCGUCUCAUAACAGGAGUAACAGUGACUGCCAAGUGAGCCAAAAACGGGAAAACAAACCAGAGUCUACAACGGAGACACAAG